GACGAACGCUGGCGGCGUGCUUAACACAUGCAAGUCGAACGGUGAGGCCUUGCAUUUGUGGGGUGCUCGAGUGGCGAACGGGUGAGUAUCACGUGAGUAGCCUGCCCUUGACUUUGGGAUAACUUCUUUAAACUCGGGCGCUUACCCGAUAUGAACUCCUUCUGCAUGGUUUUUGUUUUAAAGUUUCGGCGUUUCGGGAUGGACUCGCGGCUUAGCAGCUUGUUGGUGGGGUAGUGGCUUACCAAGGCUUUGACGGGUAGCCGGACUGAGAGGGUGACCGGCCACAUUGGGAUUGAGAUACCGGCCAGACUCCUACGGGAGGAAGGAGUGGGGAAUAGUGCAAGAAGGGCGGAAGCAUGAAGCAGCAACGCCGCGUGGGGGAUGACGGCCGUCGGGUUGUAACCCGGGUUCGCCUGUGAAGAAGAGUGAGUGACGGUAAUGGGUAAAGAAGCAACGGCUAACUACGUG
Molecule: ribosomal RNA, 468 nt
Filed under: uncultured bacterium
Lineage: Bacteria
Description: partial 16S ribosomal RNA
Rfam family: Bacterial small subunit ribosomal RNA
Source: RNAcentral